This 597-nucleotide ribosomal RNA is filed under the name uncultured bacterium. RNAcentral describes it as "bacterial SSU rRNA". It matches the Rfam family "Bacterial small subunit ribosomal RNA", at positions 338 to 945 of the family's 1533-position model. The record is from RNAcentral.
CCUACGGGAGGCAGCAGUGGGGAAUAUUGCACAAUGGGCGCAAGCCUGAUGCAGCAACGCCGCGUGAGGGACGACGGCCUUCGGGUUGUAAACCUCUUUUAGUAGGGAAGAAGCGAAAGUGACGGUACCUGCAGAAAAAGCACCGGCUAACUACGUGCCAGCAGCCGCGGUAAUACGUAGGGUGCAAGCGUUAUCCGGAAUUAUUGGGCGUAAAGAGCUCGUAGGCGGUUUGUCGCGUCUGCUGUGAAAACUGGAGGCUCAACCUCCAGCCUGCAGUGGGUACGGGCAAACUAGAGUGCGGUAGGGGAGAUUGGAAUUCCUGGUGUAGCGGUGGAAUGCGCAGAUAUCAGGAGGAACACCGAUGGCGAAGGCAGAUCUCUGGGCCGUAACUGACGCUGAGGAGCGAAAGCAUGGGGAGCGAACAGGAUUAGAUACCCUGGUAGUCCAUGCCGUAAACGUUGGGCGCUAGAUGUGGGGACCAUUCCACGGUUUCCGUGUCGCAGCUAACGCAUUAAGCGCCCGCCUGGGGAGUCGGCCGCAAGGCUAAAACUCAAAUAGAUUAGUAGNGUUGAGAGNGCGAGACGACGACGAGGAGAG